This is a long non-coding RNA of Talpa occidentalis (Iberian mole), 828 nucleotides long. RefSeq lists it as uncharacterized. The record is from RefSeq and is a predicted model, not a curated record. Lineage: Eukaryota; Metazoa; Chordata; Mammalia; Eulipotyphla; Talpidae. The transcript is spliced from 4 exons.
CGAAGCAGAAGCCGAAAGAGAAGCCGAGAUCACCAGAGAGCCCAGAUAGAGUGAAGAUUUGCUGGGGGCUGGGAGGCCUGCCAGCCUCCCGGCCCCCCAGCACCCCUGCCUGCCAUACGCCUGGUGAACCCCAACAAAAGACCUGCAAAACCACUAAGGACUCUGACUCCUCCUUUACCCGGUCUGCAUGGGAUCAGGAAACCUGCUCUGUGUCCUGUCCUGUCUUUGCAGUCUGCUUGGAUCAUAGAGAUCUGCUCUUUGCCUUCCUGCCACUACAAUUGUUCUGACGGGUUUAGAGAUUAUGGGAUUGAUUGUAAAACUAUGGUUUAGAAUAAUCAAAUACUGAAUCGGGUCAACAGAAUGGUGGAUAUAUGGUUGACCUGGAACAAAACAGUUCUGAACUGCGCUGCUCCACUUAAACACCGAUUUUCUACUAUUAGCGACUGGGCAUUCAAGGGUUCAACCACGGCAGGUGCCUGUAAUUAAAUCCCGGAAGCAGAAGACCCGGGUUGCCCCAAGGGCCGACUUUAAGGUACAAGUGGAUUUUCAACUUGCAGGCUGUCGUCACACUCCUGACACCCAGGUUGUUCAAGGCUCAACUGUAUUUGUCCAACUGGGGUUCUGAACUUCUUGAUCUUCAGUUCCAAUCUUGGUGAAACUUCUGACCUGGUCCCUGGAGAAUGAAUUCUGCCUUUGAGAUGGUCAUAGAUAGAGAGAAGCAGUGAGAGUUAGCAACUGCUGGUGCGCUGAAUGUGGAGUUUGUACAGCAGGAGUUGGAGCAAUUUACUGUGGGCUCACAGCUUCCAGGAGAUGUAGACAGAAGUCAAG